Non-coding RNA from Ictidomys tridecemlineatus (thirteen-lined ground squirrel), 8956 nucleotides. The record is from RefSeq and is a predicted model, not a curated record. Lineage: Eukaryota; Metazoa; Chordata; Mammalia; Rodentia; Sciuridae.
UGUGUGUGAGUAAGCUGGAGCUGAGCGGCCUAUUUUUGUUUCAUUUUUGACCAGUUUCUGAGUUCUUGGAUCUACCCUAUGCACACGUUCAUGAAACACACUACAGAAAGCCUUUAAGAUUUUGCUCCAUUUACAUCAGAAAUCAAUCCACACCAGUCCAGAGGGAUUCCUCCCACCACCACAUGGUGACCUGCUGUGGGGGUGGACCACAGUGCACACCUCUCCUCUCUGACAUGCGGACACUGAGCCCAUUUUGCAGUACGUCACAGUUACACAUGCACUGCCAUGACUAAUCAUGUGCACCGAUAUGUCCAGACUGACGGACAUGCACCUGUAUGUUCAGACUGACAGAAGUGCAGCUCUCGGGCAAGUUCUCUCAGGCGGGCUUGUGAAGUCCACCAGCAAAGGUGUGUGCCCACUUGGUGGGUGUGACUGAUGCCCUGCCAUGGAGGUGGUGCCAUUCUGCACGUCCCCAGCCACGUGUGAGCCAGCCGGUGGCCCCACAGCCUGGCGGAGAGUGUGCUGAACGGUAUCUAACUUCUUUCCAGUCGGGAAGGUCUGAAGAAACGGCACCUCAGGGUGGGUCUGGUUUUGUCUUGUUGUAAGUGAAACCUUUUCAAAUGAUUGGAGAUGAUUUUAUAUCUUUUUGUGAGUCAGCUACUUAUCUUUUGCUCUCUUUUCUCUCUCAGGUUUAUGGGCUUUUUACUCUUUCCAAUUUUAAGAGUUUGUUAUAUGUUCUAUAUAGAGACCUUGGCUCUUUAUCAAUAUCUUCUCCUGGGUUCUCAGUUGUGGUGUGAUUUUAUUUUUUGCGGGUGCAUUAAUCACAUAGAAUAAGGGGGUACCUUCACGUACUCACACAGGCACAGAACGUGAUUCGGUCACUCUCACACUCCAGGACCUCCCUUUCCCUCCCUCCUCUCUCCUCUGUCUCCUUCCUCUGCUCUACGAGAUAGAGCUGAUUUAUAAGGCAAGUUGCUAAGAUAUCUGACAAUAUGAAAAAUAUCAAGUAAAGAAAAGCUGAAAUGAGAUUUCAAGCUCUGCUCUCCAACUGCUUUGGGAAAGCCUGGCUGGAGCCGGGGCAAACACUUGGAAAACCCCAGCAGUGAGUUGUCAACCUUCUCAAAAUGUCAAGACCUCAAGACCAAGUCCCCGGGGCCUGGGGAGAAGGCAGGCAUGCCCAUAAGGGAGGUGGAGAGUCACUAAUAAUUCUACAAAGAUUUUUAAAAAUAUUUUUUAGUUGUACUUGGACACAGUAACUUUAUUUUAUUUAUUUAUUUUUUGAUGUGGUGCCGAGGAUCGAACCCAUUACCUCACGCAUGCUCUACCUCUGAGCCACAGCCCGGGCCCUACAAAAGCUAAAUUUAAAUCUACGCAGCCUGAAGCUCUGUGAGGAAGUUUGAGGCCUCAUGAAAGUCCAGGGCAGCUGGCCCCACUUGCAGUGGCAAAUUCCAAAUCACAGUCCCUUCUCCAAGCCCCACUGCUCUCUGCUCCAGAAAAUGACCAACCCGAAGCCCAAAGAGUCUCGUGCACCUCACCAUAGACUGAGGAGCCGGCACACAGGCGUUUCCACCGGGCCCCGUGCCCCUGGUUUUCUUGGACAGGUCUGCAUGGACUCAUAACUGGACAGUUCCCAGCCUGUGUCCCAGGAGUCACGGUUCCACUCCACGUGUCAGUGGUGUCAGUUCUGAACAGAAGCUGCCAUUCUGGGAACGCAGCUCGACUCCUGGGAGCCGCGAGCCCUCCAAGUGGAUGGGGCAGGGUCGGCUCAGGUGGGGUGCCUGUGCAGCUGUCUUCUCCCCCUCUUGGCCAUCAUGGGGGAUGCAUUGCCAACUCCAGUCCUCAGAGGCCAAGCGGGCGAGGUGAGAGUGGGUGGGUGCUGACCUGAGUCCACCUACGGGAGGAGGGUGCUGCUGCCCCCCAGCCCCAGCCCACCGCCUGCAUGUGCACAGUGGGUCAUUUUUCCAAAGAUGGUUCAAGGUCCAGCAUCAUCAGAUGCUCUGAUGUUUCCACAGAAGAUUUUAAGUUUGAUCUGUUUGUUUUUUAAAAAUCAGCUCCAUGUUUUAAAAACAAGAGAAUCUGAGUGGGAUGGGUGGUGUUGCCUGCCGUGUUCCAUCCCCAGGGCCCCUGUCUGCUGCUCCUGGUUUCCGGGAAGAAUGCUUUGAUCCUACCCUACCAUUCUCUGGACAACUCCAGGUGGACAAUUCUGGUUCACUAUAUGAAUUUAUUUCUAAUUAUUUUAUGCACAUCAUUAUAUCAUUGUUCUCAGUAUCAAAUAACAGCAAAGGUACUACCACAUCUCACUGAAGUCUAAGGAGUAUCAGAUCUUAACACAGGACUCAGGCGGGGUGAGAAGACCUGGGUGAGCGUCCUCUACCCUUGGCCAGCCUCGAGACCCCUGAAUGGUAGUUCCCGAAUCAGCAGAAUGAGUCAGAAUGACCAGCUCACGGAAUGCCCACGAGGCUUUCAAGACAAGCUGUGCAAUAAGAGUGCUCCAUAAAUAUUUGCUCCACUCCUUCUAGAAGACAGACACGAGGCUCCAUAAAUCCACACAGACUGUAAACAAAUAAAUUGGGAGGGAUUACUGCUGUUUUACUAAUAGUCUCUUCACUUUACGAAAGGAUUUCCCAUAAUGGGCUUCUCUGGGUGCAUGGAGAACACACUGUUCUCCCUAGUUUUUGCUUACGUAAAACUUUUUUUUUUUUUUUUUUAAAUGAACAAGCAUUCCAUCUUCUCAAUGCCCGUCUCCCAGCCUGUCCUGCAGGGCUGCCCCCACUGGGUGGAGAAGGGAUUGCUGUCCGCUGGAUCAGAAGCAAAGAUGAUGCUUCUGAUGAGCCAUGAGGCCACAAUCCCUGGGGAGUCAGCAACCACAGGGCACUGCUGCAGGAGAGCUCCUCCUUCCAAAUCGCCCCCGGGGCCUCCUGUCACUCUGUUAGGGGAACCAGCCCUGUCUCCUCCACGGGGGACAGGCUGUGGAGGAGCAGCACAUUCCUGCCCAGCCAGGGGAUCUGAGACGGCACCCACAGGCACAGCUGGGGUUUUGGAAAUCUCAGGGCACAGCGGUUAUGUCAUGGGCUCUGUCCUGCCCGACAGCAGCACAUAGGAAGCACCUGUAGACAGCAGGGAACCAGAGGAAUUAAAAAUAUCUGCCUGGUCCCUAAAAAAAAUAAAUGAGAGAGGAAAAAUGGUCUCUUUUCUUUUCACAGGGAAAACAAACAAAGCGAUAUCUGGUUGGAGCCAUUUCCUCUUUGCCAAACACGCCCCUCCUGGAGCCGCCCCUCCCCGGGCGGACGUGGGCCUGAGAGUGGCGGUCAGCGAGGGUCCUGGAGCAGGGGCUAAGUCUCAGGCUCCGGGUUUCGUUAGGCGGGGAGCAGGAGGAAAGCUGAGCUCAUUUCCCUGGGGAGAGGUGCGUCCUCCAUCCCGCUCUGGAAACAAGGGGCCUUGUGUUUGUCCCCACACUCUCCUCAACCCCAGGAAGUCUGUCCCUGGGAGCCGUGAGGAGCAGCGAUGACAGGCCCAUCCGGAGAGGUCGAGGGUGCUGGGUCUGCAGGACGUGGCCAAGCUCACGAGCAGAUUUGGGGACAGCAACUGGGAAACAUCAGAUCCUGUCUCCCUGGCUCCGCACACCUACUCGGUCACCAAGCCUGUCCUUCUGUCCUUUAUUUAUAUUUCUGCUCUGUCUCCUCAUCCUCACUGUGGCCACUGACCCUCAGGAUGCCAUUAUCUCUCCUGCACCUGUGGGGGGUUUCUUGGUCUCCACUCUUCUUCCGCUUUUCCAUUCUCCCCUCUGCUGUCCAUUGGUCUUUCUCAGCUGUAAGUCUGCCGUGUCUUCACCCGGUCACCUUCCUGAAAACCCGGAAUCUGACAUGCUCCAAAACUGAAAGCUUUCCCAACAGCGACCAGACCUGACACCAUGAGGGGAGAGUCCACGCCUGACCUCACGGGAUGGGCACGGCUGAAACAAAGGAACUCUAACAAUGAUCACAUGGAAUUCUCUUUGGCCCAUAUGAAUAAGGUGCUUGCGAAACAAAUGAAUUUCACGUUUGUACUUGGGUCUCAUCCCUGAAAUCUCUCAAGAUAGGCACACGCAAACAUUCCAGAAUCUGGAAAAAUUAAAAAUCAAAAACACCCUGGGCCCAAGUCUUUGGAAUAAGGCACCCUUUUAGACCAUGAGCCCAGUCCCCUCUCCUUCCUACGAGGUCACACCUCCUCACGGCAGCAGCACUUGCUGAGCAGACUGCGGGCCACACCGGGCGUCUGAUGGAGACCAGCUCUUCCGAUGCUUUGGCCGUCGGGCUUUGGACAGUGGGAGUGGGGAUCAGGAGGCUGAUGAGUGGCCAAGGCCUCUGAGCUGCAGAGGGGCUGGGGUUCAGCCCUGGCAAUCUGACAGCAGGCCCCGGCUCUUCCCAUCCUGAGCCUCUUGUGCCUUUCUGAACACCAUGUACUUCCCACCUCCAACGCUGUGGUCCUCAUUGCCACCACCUACUCGGAUCUUCCUCCUCCAAGACCCAGCUCCCUGCCCACUCUGGGAAGCCUUCAGGGACCUACCCCUGGAUAGUGUCGCCACGACCACCUGCUUUGCUAACCUUGACCCAUUGGUCCCUCUCACCAGCCUGACCUAUGGGUGGAGGAGGUACUGUGGACUUUUAGCACCCACACGUGACAGGUGUGCAAUGACUAUCUGCUGACCUCAAGCCCCAGCCUUUGGAGAAGGCAGGUCUGCAUGGUAGACUGUCUCUGCUGCUGGGCCUCACGUCUCUGUGAGUAGCCCAGGACCAGCCACGAGCUCGGCUGCUGUAGAACCUCUCCCCAUGGACCCCAGCGUCCACCCAACUGAGCCUGAAGACAAGUUGGCAGAGGGAAAGCUGCCGGGGGAUGCAGAGAAACCCCCAUCCAGAGUGUGAAACCUACGCAGUCAGCCCCAGAAAGCCCCAGAAGGCCAGGAGGAGAGCCUCUCAGUCUCCAUCUGGGAAGAAAGGUGUGACCCUGACCAUCACUGGGCAGUGCAAGGCACCACUGCACGGCCGCUGGCAAAGGUGUGUGUCGAUGGUAAACCAAGGUGCCCCCACCACGGGAAGAGUGGCCCCUUCAAAACAGCUGCAGCGAGCGCCCUGACCGUUCUGCCUCUUCUGAGACAAUAACCUGGGGCCGUGCCACGAGAGUUUGAAAAUGCCUUGUUCUUUCUUAGAAAACACAGUCAGGAAGUGGGGAAUGCAGUUUAUACGACCUCGAGGAGUCAGAGGCCACCUGGAUACUGUUUUAGAGAAGAGCUGCAGAGAACCUACGCACAAGAGUAACAAAACAGCACGCGCCCGCUAAAGUGACAGGUGACAGACCUCGACUUUCUAAAGCUACGAGGUCCACAGAGGUCCACAUGGAACUGCGACAUCGGCUGGAAACCCUGCAGAGCUCGGGCCCAGCCAUUGGUACCCACACGAUCCGUCCCCACCCGCGUGUGCGCCCUGACAAGACUGGGUGCGCUGGCCUUGAAGUUGCUCCGCUUCCCGGAGUUAGACGGUAACCACCGGCAAUCUGUGUCCCUGCGGGGCUGCCACCCAGCCUGGCCCUGGGAAGGAGCGCCUGGUGCCAGUCUGGCUGCUGCGUGUCUCUUCACUGGCCCAGGCUGAAAAUACCCUGGAGCGUCUGGGCACCGUGCAGUUCAGUUUUAAAGGGGCCCAGCUCCUUUUAAGCCCAACCCCCUCCCGGUCCUGAUGAUAAGGGAGGCAGCUCCUCUGCGAGGAAUGGAGGGUGAGGAGAGACGAGAGCCAGGGCCUCCUCACCCAGCUGGUAGCCAGGCUGCCCUCCUGUGAGAAAGGCAGCGGACCUGUCCCCUGUCCCGGCUGAGGAGAAACAUCUGGGCCCAGCCCCAGACGAGGGGGGUGGGGAACGCAGCCUGUUGGAGCCGUCCCUGGUCGCCUGGGAUGACAGAGGGCUGAUAAGGGUUGGUGCACGUUCCCAGCCAGGCUCUCCCCCAAGCCUGCCCACCCGUCUCCUCCACUAGGCUGGGCAGAGCCACUCACCACAGGCCCCAGAGGAAGAAAGCCGCAGGACACAGGCAGAGGCUGGGGGCGUCCCAGGCAGUACGGCUGGGGGCCGCUCAGGUGGCCGCGGAGCACACUACACCCUGUGCUGGCUCACGGACCCUGGAGGAGGGGGUGGGCACUGCGCCUGGGCGGGCGCAGGAGGCUGUUCAGCAGCACUGUGCCUGGCCCUCUCCCCAGGCUGCGGCUGGACAGGCCCCGUGGGAGUGGUCACCUGGCUCCAAGGAGCCCUCGGCAUGCCACUCGGCCCCCACAGCUGCCAUGUCCUUUCUGUUCUCACCACAGCUGAAGGUGAGGCCUGAAUUGUGUCCCCCAAUCCCCACACUGAAGCCUGGUCACCAGCCCCUGAGAAUGUGACUGUGUUUGGACAAAGGGUCUUUACAGAGGUAGUUAGGUCGGAGUGAGCUCUUCACGGUGGGCCUAAUGCCACUUGACUGCCGUCCUCAGGAGGAGACACACACCAUGUGAGAACAGAAGGAGAAGGUGGCUGUCCCCAAGCCCAGAAGCAAGGCCUUGGAAGGAGCCACCUGCAGUCCUUGACCUUGGCCUCCCAGCCUCCAGAGCUGUGGGGAAGCAGAGCUUUGCUGCUCCAGCCGACCUCUCUGUGUCGUGACAGCCGAGCAGACGACUGGGGCAUGGUGGCCUUGUGGAAGGGGCCUCUGGGCACACUCCCUGGCUCACAGCAUGCGUCAGGCGAGAGCGCCUCGGGUCCUCUCCCACCUGGUCAAGCUCUCCGGCCUGCACAAGCACAGCCACUGCAGGGCCGGGAUCCUGGCCCGGCUCUGUCCUAACUGGUGCUUCUCUACGGAAAAUGCAAAAUCCUUCCCUAGACCGAGCGGAGUCCCUGUAGCUCCUGGACACUGGCCAGAGCUCAUGCCAGGGAUGGCAGUGGUCCUUCUGGGGUGGACAGCAGGUCUCUCCCUGCCCCAGGCUGGAGCCCAACCCAACACCGGGGACUCAGGAAGUUCCAUGCACCGCAGCUGAUGGCAUCACACACAGCCUCUGCCUAGGGUGAGUGCCCCACCCCAUCUGGCCUCCCAGAGCUUCAAAGAGGAGCCACAGAGGAGGAAGAAGCAGAGGCCUAGGUGCAGGUGGACAACAGCAGCUUACCCUGUUACCUUACGUCAGCGCCUAGGCUCCAGGGCACCGCCUCUCCUAAUGGGCCAAGUUAUCUCCAGACUGAGCUCAGGAUCACCUCCUUGGGGGCCUCCCCGCCCGGGACUCCUCCUGCUCCAGGCAGGAUGUGCAGAUCGCCACAGAGAACCGCGUCUGCCCAGUAUUGACCGAACUGCUGCAACCACACCUGGCCUUUCUGACUCCCUGACUAGGCUGCAAGGCCCCUGUAGGCAGGAGCCAAGCUUCAUUCCCCAAGGUAUCCAUGGUCCCAGCAGAGAACCCGACACAGUUGGUGCUCGUCGCAGAUCUCAGCCAGCCAGUGAGCAGACACGCUCCCCAGACUGCAAGCCGUCACCUAGAAGCCAGCUUCAACACUCAGGUUCUGCUCCUUUCCUGACCCCACAGGAGGUUCCUGUGUCCCCAGUGUCACUGUCACUGCCUGCCCCACCCCUAUCUGGUAUGUAACUUCCCCCCAGCGGCCUGCGCUCCAGGGGGAAGUACCAGAGGAUUGCUUCAUUUCCCAGGGUGUCCACACCCCCUUCCUCCGCUGCCCAGGCUGGCAGCAAUACCCUGGGAGGAAAGGGCCGUUGGCUGGACACGGCUCCUGGGCCCUCUCACCCCACAUUCCCUUCCUGGAGCAUCCUGCUGAGCCGGCAAGCUGUACGGGGAGCCUCCGCGGAAGGAAGGAAGGAGGCCAGGGCCAAAGUGGCAACAUGCAUGGAAAGCCAUAAAAACAUCCAUGUCCUCGACCUAAUAAUCCACUCCCGGGAAUUGCUUCCAAAGAAAUCAUUCAGAAGAAGAAAAGGACACAGGACUGUUUAUAGCUGGGUUAUUUAUAACAGGAGAAAGUGGAAGCCAACGCCAUGGCCCAAGAUAGAAAAGCGACUAAAUAAAGGAUGGUGUAGAGUAUCAUAGACCUUCGAGAAGGCGUUUGAAAUGACAAUAUGGCUACGCAGAACAAGGACGUCAUCUUGGAAAUAACAGUAAAUAAGAAGAGUGCAGACUUGCGUCUAUGCUGACUCCAGCUAUGUAAGAAUCCUGUGUGGCCAAAUAUAAUAAAGACCCAAAGCUGAAAGUAGUUAUACCUAGUGGAAUUAUCCAUUUCUCCCUUCUUUUAAUUGAGAGAGAGAAAUAGUCAUUGUGUUAGGAUGAUGAAGGUUUAUGGUUUACCUGAAAAUGUUCAAGAUUAGCUUAAUAAUAAAUGAAUAUCUUACUUUUUUAUAGUACUGGGUAGAGGACCCAAGGUCUCAUGCAUGCCAGACUAGUGCUCUACCACUGAGCCACAUUCCCAGCCCUUUUUAUUUUUGAGAAGGAUCUCACUGAGUUGCGCAGACAGGCCUUCAGGUGGCUGGGAUCACAGGCAUGCACCAAGGGUUUUUUCUUGGUCACACUUUGAUCAUCGGUUGAGAAACAAGAACCAGAACAUUCUUCCUUCAGACUUUGUCAGUGGACGGCUGAAGCCUCAUGAUUCAUCUGCUGCAGGACCACAGCCUGGGUGCCACGGAGGCUUAGAGGACACCUGGCUACCCCACUCCCAUCCUCUCCAGCCUCAGGUCACAGCCCAGAGCCCACAGGCUCCCGUGUCCCUGAGGCCUCCUUUCCGGAGCUAGAGAGAGAAUCUGGGAAAAGGACCUGAGGAGAGUCCGGGAGGCCGGGGCAGGAGGAGAGACUCAAAUCCUGCAUUUGGGGUGUGAAAAUAAAGUCUGAGAUUGAGUUAUCUUUUUCCUCAAAAAAAAGUUGUUGGGCUGGGGUUAAAUCUGAUCCCCGGCUCCUAAUAAGUGAAUAAAUAAUCAUCAAUGAAA